UACAGAGGGGGCAAGCGUUGUUCGGAAUUACUGGGCGUAAAGGGCGCGUAGGCGGCCUUCUAAGUCGAACGUGAAAUCCCCGGGCUCAACCCGGGAACUGCGUCUGAUACUGGAUGGCUUGAGUUUGGGAGAGGGACGCGGAAUUCCAGGUGUAGCGGUGAAAUGCGUAGAUAUCUGGAGGAACACCGGUGGCGAAGGCGGCGUCCUGGACCAACACUGACACUGAGGAGCGAAAGCCAGGGGAGCAAACGGG
This 253-nucleotide ribosomal RNA is filed under the name uncultured bacterium. RNAcentral's name for it is "partial 16S ribosomal RNA". It matches the Rfam family "Bacterial small subunit ribosomal RNA", at positions 524 to 776 of the family's 1533-position model. The record is from RNAcentral.